UACGUACUGUGCGAACGUUAUUCGGAAUCACUGGGCUUAAAGGGUGCGUAGGCGGCCAAUUAAGUAGGGUGUGAAAGGUUACGGCUCAACCGUGACAUUGCGCUCUAAACUGAUUGGCUCGAGUGAGAUAGGGGUGUGCGGAACUUCCAGUGGAGCGGUGAAAUGUGUUGAUAUUGGGAGGAACGCCGGUGGCGAAAGCGGCACACUGGGUCUUAACUGACGCUGAUGCACGAAAGCCAGGGGAGCGAACGGG
This 253-nucleotide ribosomal RNA is filed under the name uncultured bacterium. RNAcentral describes it as "partial 16S ribosomal RNA". It matches the Rfam family "Bacterial small subunit ribosomal RNA", at positions 524 to 776 of the family's 1533-position model. The record is from RNAcentral.